GAGACUGUUACUUUCUAUUUAAGGAAUCGGUAUGCCGGUUUUCGGGGGACGCUCGUUCACAAAACCUUUCAUUCAUACAUUGGAUUAUUAUUGCUGACUGACCUGGAAGCACGAGGUCGCCGUUCCUUGUGGAGUAAAUUCGUUGGGCUCGCUGCCUGGAUUACUUUUAUCUGAGGACAUAAGCCAGUCAUCAUCUUCUUUGGAUCAUGCUCACGGACUACACAAAUUCCCGCAUUGAUGCUUCAAGCGUUGACAGAUCACUUGGGAGACUAGUGAAUGAUGAGCAGAAACCCAAUGUAAAGAUGAAAAAGAAGUGGAUGGUAUGCCACAUCUUUUUUUAGUGGCCAUUAUGGAUGGAAGGGAAGUUCGAGAGAUUACUUAUGACUAUGGAGGUGUUGACUUGCCAUGACAUUCCUGCCAUGGACAGGAAAUGCCCAAGCCCAUGGCUCCAGCUACAUUCCAGGACCAAGUCGUCUCUCCCACUGCCCCUCCUGAAGAGGUUUGGCAAUACAUUUGUCAACUUAGUUUGACACACAUGAAGUGCUUUAACAUGAUCUGAAGUGAGAGUAUCUUAUUGCCACUGUAUGUGACUAAGCAGUACGCUGCGGUUUUGUAACCUUUGUGUGUGUUUGUGUAUGCUUACUCAUGGUUAAUGAGGCCAUACAUUUCAUAUAUGAGGACCCAAUUUGGGAUGAAACAUUGUGAAGCCAUAGCCUACUGUUUAGUCACAAAGAGUAGCCAU
This is a long non-coding RNA of Xyrauchen texanus (razorback sucker), 742 nucleotides long. RefSeq lists it as uncharacterized. The record is from RefSeq and is a predicted model, not a curated record. NCBI's taxonomy places the organism in Eukaryota, Metazoa, Chordata, Actinopteri, Cypriniformes, Catostomidae. The transcript is spliced from 3 exons.